RNAcentral lists this ribosomal RNA (831 nucleotides) under Staphylococcus aureus. Its description in RNAcentral is "partial 23S ribosomal RNA". It matches the Rfam family "Bacterial large subunit ribosomal RNA", at positions 743 to 1574 of the family's 2925-position model. The record is from RNAcentral. Lineage: Bacteria; Bacillati; Bacillota; Bacilli; Caryophanales; Staphylococcaceae.
GGUUGAAGUUCAGGUAACACUGAAUGGAGGACCGAACCGACUUACGUUGAAAAGUGAGCGGAUGAACUGAGGGUAGCGGAGAAAUUCCAAUCGAACCUGGAGAUAGCUGGUUCUCUCCGAAAUAGCUUUAGGGCUAGCCUCAAGUGAUGAUUAUUGGAGGUAGAGCACUGUUUGGACGAGGGGCCCCUCUCGGGUUACCGAAUUCAGACAAACUCCGAAUGCCAAUUAAUUUAACUUGGGAGUCAGAACAUGGGUGAUAAGGUCCGUGUUCGAAAGGGAAACAGCCCAGACCACCAGCUAAGGUCCCAAAAUAUAUGUUAAGUGGAAAAGGAUGUGGCGUUGCCCAGACAACUAGGAUGUUGGCUUAGAAGCAGCCAUCAUUUAAAGAGUGCGUAAUAGCUCACUAGUCGAGUGACACUGCGCCGAAAAUGUACCGGGGCUAAACAUAUUACCGAAGCUGUGGAUUGUCCUUUGGACAAUGGUAGGAGAGCGUUCUAAGGGCGUUGAAGCAUGAUCGUAAGGACAUGUGGAGCGCUUAGAAGUGAGAAUGCCGGUGUGAGUAGCGAAAGACGGGUGAGAAUCCCGUCCACCGAUUGACUAAGGUUUCCAGAGGAAGGCUCGUCCGCUCUGGGUUAGUCGGGUCCUAAGCUGAGGCCGACAGGCGUAGGCGAUGGAUAACAGGUUGAUAUUCCUGUACCACCUAUAAUCGUUUUAAUCGAUGGGGGGACGCAGUAGGAUAGGCGAAGCGUGCGAUUGGAUUGCACGUCUAAGCAGUAAGGCUGAGUAUUAGGCAAAUCCGGUACUCGUUAAGGCUGAGCUGUGAUGGGGAGA